Micropterus dolomieu (smallmouth bass) is the source of this 541-nucleotide long non-coding RNA. RefSeq lists it as uncharacterized. The transcript has 2 exons. Lineage: Eukaryota; Metazoa; Chordata; Actinopteri; Centrarchiformes; Centrarchidae. The record is from RefSeq and is a predicted model, not a curated record.
CCUCGCUCCGACGGCUCCGUCCACUUUCCGGAGACGGAGCUGUAUCGUGUACAGGCUAGAUGGAGAAAUCUGGUCACCUUACCGAAAGAUCCCCCAUAGUUCAACUGCUGUAAAUGUUUUGCAGCUGAAGCCAUAAGACAGAAUACAAGAGGGACACGAUAAGCAAGGUUUGGUUUUAGCAACAUGUUCAACAUUUCAUAAAGUCAAUGCGCUCAUCAAUGUCAAGCGAGACAGCUCAUGCUCGUGAGAGAGAUGGAGCGUGGAAAUGGACAGAAGUGUGAACGCAUAUAAAGACUCUUUGAUCAAGAAUCCAGAUGUUUUGUGGUUUCUGAUCUACACUGGACACUGGAGUCCCUACUAACUACUGAUCCCUUAAAAUAAAGUAUUUUUGACACUUUGAGGGCAGCUUGAUAAUUAACUUGUUGGCAUAAGUUAAAACCUAUUCUUACUUUAGGGGCUCCGUAGUUAACAGUGUCAGAGAUCCGUAUGAAACGUCUGUAUCCUCACUGUGCUGCACUUUAAUAAACUGUGAUGAAGGUCA